Molecule: ribosomal RNA, 471 nt
Filed under: uncultured bacterium
Lineage: Bacteria
Description: bacterial SSU rRNA
Rfam family: Bacterial small subunit ribosomal RNA
Source: RNAcentral
AGAGUUUGAUCCUGGCUCAGAUUGAACGCUGGCGGUAUGCUUAACACAUGCAAGUCGAACGCGAAAGCACCUUCGGGUGUAAGUAGAGUGGCGGACGGGUGAGUAAGGCAUGGGAAUCUGCCCUAUAGCGGGGGAUAACUUGGGGAAACCCAAGCUAAUACCGCAUACACCUACGGGUAAAAGAUGGCCUCUUCUUGAAAGCUAUUACUAUAGGAUGAGCCCAUGUAAGAUUAGCUAGUUGGUAGGGUAAAAGCCUACCAAGGCUACGAUCUUUAGCUGGUCUGAGAGGACGAUCAGCCACACUGGGACUGAGACACGGCCCAGACUCCUACGGGAGGCAGCAGUGGGGAAUAUUGGACAAUGGGGGCAACCCUGAUCCAGCAAUACCGCGUGUGUGAAGAAGGCCUGCGGGUUGUAAAGCACUUUUAUCUGUGAGGAAGGGUUUAAUGUUAAUACCAUUAGACAUUGACG